CUUGGUGAGAUGCUAGUGUUGCCUAAAAUCUAAGAAAAAUUCUCUGGACAGUUUGUCAAACUAAGGGAGAGAUCAGGUCUUUAUUAAGGCCUUAAGGUGCAUAAAAUACAUCUAGCACAAGCACACAGAAUAACUGUUACAAUUUUAUAAUACUGAUUAAUCAUCAUAUCUAACUAUUACAUCAUGGUUACACCUGGCCCAAAAACUGUCCAUCAUGCAGAGUACCCUCAGGCCCUUCCCUAGGCAUGCCUCCCCGAAUUGGGUUGGUGGUGCCAAGAAAACAGUGCUUUAUCCCUCCUUCAUCUUCAUCAUCCCUCUCUGUCCUGCUUGGUCCUCUUUGAAGGAUCCUGUGUCUUCUCUAAUAGUUUACUCCAAA
Chiroxiphia lanceolata (lance-tailed manakin) is the source of this 376-nucleotide long non-coding RNA. RefSeq lists it as uncharacterized. The transcript is spliced from 3 exons. Lineage: Eukaryota; Metazoa; Chordata; Aves; Passeriformes; Pipridae. The record is from RefSeq and is a predicted model, not a curated record.